This 1516-nucleotide ribosomal RNA is filed under the name Staphylococcus aureus. RNAcentral's name for it is "partial 23S ribosomal RNA". It matches the Rfam family "Bacterial large subunit ribosomal RNA", at positions 1411 to 2925 of the family's 2925-position model. Lineage: Bacteria; Bacillati; Bacillota; Bacilli; Caryophanales; Staphylococcaceae. The record is from RNAcentral.
GUAGGCGAUGGAUAACAGGUUGAUAUUCCUGUACCACCUAUAAUCGUUUUAAUCGAUGGGGGGACGCAGUAGGAUAGGCGAAGCGUGCGAUUGGAUUGCACGUCUAAGCAGUAAGGCUGGGUAUUAGGCAAAUCCGGUACUCGUUAAGGCUGAGCUGUGAUGGGGAGAAGACAUUGUGUCUUCGAGUCGUUGAUUUCACACUGCCGAGAAAAGCCUCUAGAUAGAAAAUAGGUGCCCGUACCGCAAACCGACACAGGUAGUCAAGAUGAGAAUUCUAAGGUGAGCGAGCGAACUCUCGUUAAGGAACUCGGCAAAAUGACCCCGUAACUUCGGGAGAAGGGGUGCUCUUUAGGGUUAACGCCCAGAAGAGCCGCAGUGAAUAGGCCCAAGCGACUGUUUAUCAAAAACACAGGUCUCUGCUAAACCGUAAGGUGAUGUAUAGGGGCUGACGCCUGCCCGGUGCUGGAAGGUUAAGAGGAGUGGUUAGCUUCUGCGAAGCUACGAAUCGAAGCCCCAGUAAACGGCGGCCGUAACUAUAACGGUCCUAAGGUAGCGAAAUUCCUUGUCGGGUAAGUUCCGACCCGCACGAAAGGCGUAACGAUUUGGGCACUGUCUCAACGAGAGACUCGGUGAAAUCAUAGUACCUGUGAAGAUGCAGGUUACCCGCGACAGGACGGAAAGACCCCGUGGAGCUUUACUGUAGCCUGAUAUUGAAAUUCGGCACAGCUUGUACAGGAUAGGUAGGAGCCUUUGAAACGUGAGCGCUAGCUUACGUGGAGGCGCUGGUGGGAUACUACCCUAGCUGUGUUGGCUUUCUAACCCGCACCACUUAUCGUGGUGGGAGACAGUGUCAGGCGGGCAGUUUGACUGGGGCGGUCGCCUCCUAAAAGGUAACGGAGGCGCUCAAAGGUUCCCUCAGAAUGGUUGGAAAUCAUUCAUAGAGUGUAAAGGCAUAAGGGAGCUUGACUGCGAGACCUACAAGUCGAGCAGGGUCGAAAGACGGACUUAGUGAUCCGGUGGUUCCGCAUGGAAGGGCCAUCGCUCAACGGAUAAAAGCUACCCCGGGGAUAACAGGCUUAUCUCCCCCAAGAGUUCACAUCGACGGGGAGGUUUGGCACCUCGAUGUCGGCUCAUCGCAUCCUGGGGCUGUAGUCGGUCCCAAGGGUUGGGCUGUUCGCCCAUUAAAGCGGUACGCGAGCUGGGUUCAGAACGUCGUGAGACAGUUCGGUCCCUAUCCGUCGUGGGCGUAGGAAAUUUGAGAGGAGCUGUCCUUAGUACGAGAGGACCGGGAUGGACAUACCUCUGGUGUACCAGUUGUCGUGCCAACGGCAUAGCUGGGUAGCUAUGUGUGGACGGGAUAAGUGCUGAAAGCAUCUAAGCAUGAAGCCCCCCUCAAGAUGAGAUUUCCCAACUUCGGUUAUAAGAUCCCUCAAAGAUGAUGAGGUUAAUAGGUUCGAGGUGGAAGCAUGGUGACAUGUGGAGCUGACGAAUACUAAUCGAUCGAAGACUUAAUCAA